Molecule: ribosomal RNA, 510 nt
Filed under: uncultured bacterium
Lineage: Bacteria
Description: partial 16S ribosomal RNA
Rfam family: Bacterial small subunit ribosomal RNA
Source: RNAcentral
GACGAACGCUGGCGGCGUGCUUAACACAUGCAAGUCGAACGAAGAGCGAUGGAAGCUUGCUUCUAUCAAUCUUAGUGGCGAACGUGUGAGUAACGCGUAAUCAACCUGCCCUUCAGAGGGGGACAACAGUUGGAAACGACUGCUAAUACCGCAUACGAUCUAACCUCGGCAUCGAGGAUAGAUGAAAGGUGGCCUCUACAUGUAAGCUAUCACUGAAGGAGGGGAUUGCGUCUGAUUAGCUAGUUGGAGGGGUAACGGCCCACCAAGGCGAUGAUCAGUAGCCGGUCUGAGAGGAUGAACGGCCACAUUGGGACUGAGACACGGCCCAGACUCCUACGGGAGGCAGCAGUGGGGAAUCUUCCGCAAUGGACGAAAGUCUGACGGAGCAACGCCGCGUGAGUGAUGACGGCCUUCGGGUUGUAAAGCUCUGUUAAUCGGGACGAAAGGCCUUCUUGCGAAUAGUGAGAAGGAUUGACGGUACCGGAAUAGAAAGCCACGGCUAACUACGUG